CCCCUCUCCACAUGUACCCUCUCUCCACAAAUGUACACGAGGUUCCGGGAGCUUCCAUGAGCAUUGCGAAGGAGCUUCCGCGAGCGCUUCGACGUGGCCAACCGAUCAUUGCCCCCUCUCUAGCUUUCUUUAUCUAUGUACAUCAAUUUUUUUCGAUCUUUCCCUUGAUGUUGUAGAUUUUUCUAUGUUUUUCCCGGGUUUUCCCGUUGUUUUUCCAUCCUCGAAAGUCUCAAUCAGGUGGGAGGCAUGAAGUAAACGAAGCAGCCAAACAGGGAAGCUGUUUCCCCAAGUUUUUUCAUUGUUUUUCAUCCUGAGGAGUCUCAAUCGAGUGGGCGGCGAACAAAGUGGCCGA
This 352-nucleotide long non-coding RNA is filed under the name Elaeis guineensis (African oil palm). RNAcentral's name for it is "long non-coding RNA (EGUI_LNC006937)". Lineage: Eukaryota; Viridiplantae; Streptophyta; Magnoliopsida; Arecales; Arecaceae. The record is from RNAcentral.